CAGUNGGGAAUAUUGCACAAUGGGCGAAAGCCUGAUGCAGCUAUGCCGCGUGUAUGAAGAAGGCCUUAGGGUUGUAAAGUACUUUCAACAAGAAAGAAGGGAUAAAAUCUAAUACAUUUUAUCAUUGACGUUACUUGUAAAAGAAGCACCGGCUAACUCCGUGCCAGCAGCCGCGGUAAUACGGAGGGUGCGAGCGUUAAUCGGAAUUACUGGGCGUAAAGAGCACGUAGGCUGUUAAUUAAGUCAGAUGUGAAAGCCCUAAGCUUAACUUAGGAAUUGCAUUUGAAACUAAUUAGCUUGAGUUUUGUAGAGGAGAGUAGAAUUCCAGGUGUAGCGGUGAAAUGCGUAGAUAUCUGGAGGAAUACCAGUGGCGAAGGCGACUCUCUGGACAAAUACUGACGCUCAGGUGCGAAAGCAUGGGGAGCAAACAGGAUUAGAUACCCUGGUAGUCCAUGCUGUAAACGAUGUCGACUUGGAGGUUGUAAGCUUGACUUGUAACUUCCGUAGCUAACGCGUUAAGUCGACCGCCUGGGGAGUACGACCGCAAGGUUAAAACUCAAAUGAAUUGACGGGGGCCCGCACAAGCGGUGGAGCAUGUGGUUUAAUUCGAUGCAACGCGAAAAACCUUACCUGGUCUUGACAUCCAUGGAAUUUAAUAGAGAUAUUUUAGUGCCUUCGGGAACCAUGAGACAGGUGCUGCAUGGCUGUCGUCAGCUCGUGUUGUGAAAUGUUGGGUUAAGUCCCGCAACGAGCGCAACCCUUGUCCUUUGUUGCCAUCAGUUCGGCUGGGAACUCAAAGGAAACUGCCGGUGAUAAACCGGAGGAAGGUGAGGACGACGUCAAGUCAUCAUGGCCCUUACGACCAGGGCUACACACGUGCUACAAUGGUAUAUACAAAGGGAAGCAUCCUCGCAAGAGUAAGCGGAUCUCAUAAAAUAUAUCUUAGUUCGGAUUGGAGUCUGCAACUCGACUCCAUGAAGUCGGAAUCGCUAGUAAUCGUAGAUCAGAAUGCUACGGUGAAUACGUUCCCGGGCCUUGUACACACCGCCCGUCACACCAUGGGAGUGGGUUGUAAAAGAAGUAAGUAGUUUAACCAUUUAUUUGGAGGACGCUUACCACUUUGUGAUUCAUAACUGGGGUGAAG
Molecule: ribosomal RNA, 1144 nt
Filed under: bacterium endosymbiont of Donacia tomentosa
Lineage: Bacteria
Description: bacterial SSU rRNA
Rfam family: Bacterial small subunit ribosomal RNA
Source: RNAcentral